RNAcentral lists this long non-coding RNA (340 nucleotides) under Bos taurus (domestic cattle). Its description in RNAcentral is "long non-coding RNA NONBTAT022332". The record is from RNAcentral. Lineage: Eukaryota; Metazoa; Chordata; Mammalia; Artiodactyla; Bovidae.
AAGUGAUUCUUACUAGUUUUCAAGCAUAUUCUUUACACUAAAAGGGCUCAUAUUUAAAGAUUUGAUCUCGUUCCAAUCCCACAUAAGCUUGUUAGAUGGAUAUAUUUAGAUGAUAUAUAUGAAUCUGUUAUUAAAGUCAAAUAACAUAGUAUUUAGACCUGUGAUCUAGUUUUUCAUAAAAUUUUUACAAAUGUUAUUUGGAAACCAGAUAGUUUACAUAUAUAUAAAAAUAAGGAUAUGAGCUGCCUUAUUCUGACAAUUAAAAUGCAUUUAUGUAAAGGGAUAGAUGUUUGAUAUUAAUAGCAUAUUAAUAGCAACUGUCAUUAAUGACAGUCUAAUA